RNAcentral lists this ribosomal RNA (389 nucleotides) under uncultured eukaryote. RNAcentral describes it as "partial 18S ribosomal RNA". It matches the Rfam family "Eukaryotic small subunit ribosomal RNA", at positions 592 to 976 of the family's 1831-position model. The record is from RNAcentral.
CAAUAGCGUAUAUUAAAGUUGUUGCAGUUAAAAAGCUCGUAGUUGGAUUUCUGGUGGGGGUCGCUGGUCCGCUGCGAAAGCGGCGUGUACCGAUGCGUACCUACCGCCAUCCUCGGGGGGACUGCGUGUGGGAUUAGUUUCUCGUGCGUAUGGACGCCCGUCUUUUACUGUGAAAAAAUUAGAGUGUUCAAAGCAGGCUGAGGCCGUUGAAUACAUUAGCAUGGAAUAAUAAGAUAGGACCUUGGCGGUCUAUUUUGUUGGUUUGCACGCCAAGGUAAUGAUUAAUAGGGAUAGUUGGGGGUAUUCGUAUUCAAUUGUCAGAGGUGAAAUUCUUAGAUUUAUGGAAGACGAACUACUGCGAAAGCAUUUACCAAGGAUGUUUUCAUUAA